RNAcentral lists this ribosomal RNA (793 nucleotides) under uncultured archaeon. RNAcentral's name for it is "bacterial SSU rRNA". It matches the Rfam family "Archaeal small subunit ribosomal RNA", at positions 85 to 879 of the family's 1478-position model. The record is from RNAcentral.
ACUGCUCAGUAACACGUGGAUAACCUACCCAAGAGUCCGGGAUAACCCCGGGAAACUGGGGAUAAUACCGGAUAGGUCAGACUUGCUGGAAGGCUGUUUGGCUGAAACUUCCGGGGCUUUUGGAUGGGUCUGCGGCUGAUUAGGUUGUUGCCGGUGUAACGUACCGUCAAGCCUGUAGUCAGUACGGGUUGUGGGAGCAAGAGCCCGGAGAUGGAUUCUGAGACACGAAUCCAGGCCCUACGGGGCGCAGCAGGCGCGAAAACUCUACAAUGCAGGCGACUGCGAUAGGGGAACAUCGAGUGAUCCUCAUAUUGGGGGUCUGUCCACCCGCCUAAAAAGCGGGUGUUAGCAAGGGCCGGGCAAGACCGGUGCCAACCGCCGCGGUAAUACCGGCGGCUCGAGUGGUGGCCGAUAUUAUUGAGUCUAAAGGGUCCGUAGCCGGCUUUGCAAGUCUCUCGGGAAAUCCAGCGGCUUAACCGUUGGUCGUCCGGGGGGUACUACAUUGCUUGGGACUGGGAGAGGUAGGAGGUACUCAGGGGGUAGGAGUGAAAUCCUGUAAUCCUUUGGGGACCACCGGUGGCGAAGGCGUCCUACCAGAACAGGUCCGACGGUGAGGGACGAAAGCUAGGGGCACGAACCGGAUUAGAUACCCGGGUAGUCCUAGCCGUAAACGAUGCUCGCUAGGUGUCACAACAGUCGUGAACUGUUGUGGUGCCGUAGGGAAGCCGUGAAGCGAGCCACUUGGGAAGUACGACCGCAAGGUUGAAACUUAAAGGAAUUGGCGGGGGAGCAC